Dama dama (fallow deer) is the source of this 7975-nucleotide long non-coding RNA. RefSeq lists it as uncharacterized. The record is from RefSeq and is a predicted model, not a curated record. Lineage: Eukaryota; Metazoa; Chordata; Mammalia; Artiodactyla; Cervidae. The transcript is spliced from 12 exons.
CAGCGUUGCGGCUGGAGGCAGGGCUGGUCCUCUACCUGCUGUCCACUGCCACCUUGGCCUGCUCUUGCGCUGCGAACUCUGUGCCGCCGCUCCCUUCACCAUAUUUUGGGACGGCCGGCGCUAAGAAUUUAUGCUAUGACCUUCGAUUCAGCCAGGAGGUGACACCAAACUUGAUCAGAAACCAUGCCACAGGUGAAGAGGUAUAUUGAGCCCUGCCUGGCCAGUGAGGUUACUAGAGAAUUGGAAGAGGCUCAAGUCAGCAUCCUGCACAUGGUUAUCAAACCAUUGUGAAGUCUUAGUAAGUGGUCAGUGGCUCUGGUGGGCUUGCCCAGUUAGUGGGAAGGGCCAGGAAAGGUAGUCUUACUAGGCCUAGGCAGUUACUUCAUAUUUUCCCAUUAUGACAUGGAAAAAGGUCUUAAAAUAUUCAGACUAUACUAGAGACUACUGAGCCUAACCUCUCCUUUUCCCAUUCUUGCAUUUUUGCAGAUGAUCUCUUACAAGAUCAUAGCUAGUUGGUGUAGAAAAUAGAUUUGAAUCGUUGCCCAGUACUGUGUCUUCCACCUAGUGCUUUCUCUAGAUUCCAUCUAAGUCCAUGGAGGCCAUGUGAGACAAACAUUUUUAUUUCACACUGUAAACGGUUUUUUUAAUAGCCUCUGAGAUUGUGCUCCUCUGAUAAAGUAAAUAUCCAUGAUGUAAAUUUUUUAUUAUUUAUAAAAUCACCUGGGAUACUUGUUAAAAAUGCAGAUUCUUGGGCAGCUAGGAACUUUGUCACUGGUCAAGAGCAACAAGUAACAAGUAAGACCUACUUGUCACUUAUCCUGAGGCAUCAUGCCCAGUGGGUUUACAAGCAAAUCAGAAUGAAGCAUCGUUGCCCUGGAUGUCCUUGUGAGGUGGUUGGGAAAUCUUGGCUGAACUGUGGAGAAUAUCUUCGAAAAGUGUUUUAGAGAGUCUACCAGAUUUUCCAUGUGAGUGCCUGUGCAGCAGAAGAGUGGGUCUUCUCAGUGGUUAAGGUUCACAGUGAUUAAGUGUUUGCCUUCUUCAGAAUGUCUUCUACCCUACGUAGGCCCAGAAGUGAAUCUGAUACACAGUCACAGAAGUUGCAAUGGAUUCUUUCAAGGCCUUUAAGCCUGGUUUGUUUCCAUGGAAAAGAGCAUAACAGAAGAUUGAGUGUCGAAAUGUCCCUGGCAGCAGGCAUGAAUUACUUUAGAAUGAGACUUGUUCCAGAGUAUUCAGUUGACUUCCUAAGUAGAGAACUGCCUUUUGCUUCCUUUAUCUGGCUACCAAGACAGAGAUUCCUGGGAGUCAACCUGCCAUCAAGUCAACUGUUUUGCCUCAGAUGUUUCAGCCCAGGUUCAACUUUGGAAUUUCAGAUUCUUCUGUCUUCAGGUCCAGAGCCUCCAUUUGACUUUCCAUCUCCUCCACUGAGGAUUGUGGAGUUAAGUCGGGAAAGAAAAUGGCUGUGCACAGAGGGAGGAUUUAUCACUGUUCUUCAAGGACACUUCUGUGGCAGUGACAGUGGUUGGGAAUGUUAGCGCUCACUGCCCUGACAGAGACCUGCUUCAACAGGGUACGAAGUGUUGCCUCUGCUACUUCUCUGCUAGAUCAUCAUUUAGCCCAGCUGUAUUAUGAGAUCAUCUUUUGACUUCAUGGUGUCACUGAAAGGCUUACAUGUCCUAGUGGAUGAAAAUAUUUCAACGCUUCUCUCUGCCGUCUUUUUGCUGCCAUACACUGUGCUGGGUGAUGGGGAUAUGGAGAUGAAUUAGACAUGAUUCCUGCCCUCAAGGAGUUCUCAGCCUAGUGAGAGUUCGACAUGUACACAGAGAAUUACAACAGUAUGGUAUGCUCUACAACGGAGGUGUUGCUGUUGGUUCCUUCAAGACCAGGGCUUGGCUGCACAGAUUUUGCAAGUUCCUUUAGGGGGUGGGACAGCCAUAUGUGAAAUGUUGACUCUAAGAAAGACAACUGAAGAGCCACAGACUUCUCAUAGUGUUACUAAGUUCUUGAUCCUUCUCAUCAGUAGCAGGGCUACCCACACUGUCACGUAUCUUCCAAAAUAUUUUUUACCAAAACUGGAGGCUUUUAUAUUUAAAACCCUCUCAGGGAAGAAAUGACCUUGGUUGUUAUUGUCUCAAUGCUUUAUUUUGUUUAAGGAUUUUUGAAUGCUUAUGGUUAUAUCUCCUGGUAAAAAAUAUUUACAAUAAUUAAAAAUAUAAAUAUAUCUGGAAUUUAUUUUCUUGUUUCUCAAAGCAAUAUAAAUACAAUAUUUGGCAAAUUCUCUCCUUAAGGCUCAGAGGAUUCAGAGAAUGGCUUUCUGUGACUAGAAUAAUUGAUUGGAGAUUAUGUUUAAGUAGACCUUUUGUAUUUUCAGUGAACCUUAUGAAACUAGCCAUACUGAAGAGCAGUGGAGGGGAGAAGGGUUGGAAGAGGAAACCCUGAGCAGGACAGCAAAACAGUACAGUGACAGUUUGGGCCUUACACUCAGAUCUAGCCUCACACUUACAAUGUAGUUUUGAGCAUGGUUUUGCACCUCUUUCUGGUACUUUAUUUCUUCUUAUGUAAAAUAGAAUUAGUGAUAUCUUUUUGCAAUGAUGAGUGGGGGUGGGAAUAUAAGGAUUUAAUGGGAUUAUUUAUGUAAAUUGCUUGGAACAGAUGUGGGAUAUGCUGAAUGCUAUAUGAACUGUAGUUGCUGUUGAUAAUAAUGUUGACCUUGACAAGGAUUUAAAAAACAUAGUUAACUAAAGGUACUUAACAUUUUAUAUUGUCAAUAAGGAUGUUGGGGUUUGCAAAAGAAAGUAAAGCUACCUGAUCUCAAGGUUUUCAGUGGCAUGCUAGAGGGAAGUCAGUUUCCUGCUGUUAUUUUUCUUUUUCCCUCUGUCAAAUAGGUUGGGAAACCAGAUGACUUUCGUCCAUGCCCUGAUCACUAAUCUAUUGCAUUUGCUCUUAUUUCCAAAUAUAAAACUGUUGAAAUUUUGUAUAAUACCUAAACUGAAUAAAGUUAUCCUAAAAAAUGUAGAAAAAUACUUUGGAAUUGGUCAAAACUGGAUUUGAAACCUAUUACUAGCUAUGUGAUCUAAGGCAUGUUACUUAACCUAAUUGAACCUCAGUUUCUUCAUCUAAUAUAUAAUAAUUAAUUUUCAGGGUGUUCAUGAGGAUAUUGUAAAGUGUGUGUUAUAAGCACGCUAUAAAUUACAGCUAUCAUUGUUAGUUCUUGGAACAUUCACCGCAUGACAGAAACAACAGCAGGCCCUGGUGGCUGGGAGGACUUCAUGGAUCCAACAGCAACCUGAAGAAAUCCUACUCGGAUGGAUAUAAUACAACCUGCUAAGUGUCCUAGCACUUAUCAGGUUGUAUUAUCAUUGUCCGUGUCUAUGGCUCUCGUCUACCAGACUCUAAAUUCCUUACAGGCAAGGACAGUGCCUUAUUCAUCUUUGUAUUCGCGGUGCCUAAUCCGGUGCACAUUGUAGGCCUCAUUAAAUGUUUGUUGAAUGAAAAAAUGAAUCAUCAACAGACAUUAAUUGGGCGCCUGCUCUGUGAUCUCCAUGGGCUCAUCUUGUCCCCGCCAGUUGCCUACAACGUCCAAGCUGUCUUCAAUAUGCUUUCUUCUGAAGCUCACUCCUGUCUUCUAAUUCUUUUGCCAAGAACUUUUCUGUGUAGUGCAAAGACAGCAAAUAUACUUCAUCUCAAGUACCAUCUCCAGUUGAUUGAUAGUAUCUGUCUUUAUUAUGUUCUAUAAAAAAUAGUUCUGAAGCCAGGUGUCAACUCAGUAUGAAAGAGGAUUAUAACUAAUUAGUGAUGUUUGCUGGGGGUGGGGGAAGGGGAUUAGCAGCAUAAGUGCCAUAUAUAUGUCAUAUUUAAUAUUGUGUUUUCCAUGAAAUACUCUGUUUCCAUGCCUGUAUUUUAGUCUUGGCUACUUGCAGAUGUUGCAUUGCCGCUGCUGCCACCACUGCUGUUACUACAGUUGCUACCAGUUGUUCCUUGGGUAGGACCAGAGUGAUCAUUGAUCAGAAACUCAUCCUCACAGUCUGGGGUUUGCUGCUGUUGCUGGUAUUCAGUUUUCCCCUUUCAACUUUACCUCAGCUAACCCCUUACCUACAUUAACAGGUAGGCCUUUAGUUUAUGUUCACCACUCAACAGGCUCAUAUUUCCUUUUUCUUAUUUACUGUGAUUAAUCAUUAUUGCUUCAUGAGAAGCCUUCUUUCUAUUAGAUGUGACAACUAGAAUACAAGUUAAACCAUUCCAUCAAGGCCCUACAGUGAAUCAUAUAAGUUCCCCUUUAAUAUAGGAGAAAAUUGAGCAUACUCACACACUAUGAGGCAGGGAGAAGGCAGACAUUGUACAUAUGGGAGAGAGAUGAUAACUUAUGGCUCUUAGAACAUAGGCGGAGGGUUAGCCUUAGAUCAAAGGAGUUACCUCUUUACUGGGGUAUAGUGAUAAGAAUAGGAGUUAGAAACAGUACCUGAUAAGGGUGUUGGAGAUUUGUAAUUGUAGAGGUGGGUGAGAGGAAGCUGACCAGGGACAGGAUUACAGAGACAAGAGUCUUAAGAAAUAUCCAGGCCAUAUCAAAGUGAGCAACUAGUUUGAAACUUGAUUAGAGACUCAGGAAAAGAAAAGGUAAUCUUGAGCCAUUGUCACAAGUAGCAUUUGGUUGCCUAGAAUUGAUCUUGAUUGAUUGAAGGAUAGGGGCUUCUCAGGUGGCUUCUCAGUGGUAAAGAAUCUGCCUGCCAGUACUGGAGAUGCAGGUUCGAUCCCUGGGUCAAGAAGAUCCCCUGGAGGAGGGCAUGGCAACCCACCCCAGUAUUCUUGCCUGGAGAAUCCCAGAGACAGAGGAGCCUAGUGGGAUACAGUCCAGAGGGUCACAAAGAGUCAGACAUGACUGAAUGAGCAUGAUUGAGGGAUGAACAGCUAGCAAGAGAAGAGUUACACACCAGUGAAUUUGAGGAUCCAGACUGUAUAUGAAAGGAAGGUCAGAGUCUACAUAGAAAAAGUGGCCUUAGUGUGAUCAAGAUGGGUGCUGAGUCUUUGGAAAACUGGUAUGAUAGGAUCUAUAUCAGAGACUGAACUUUGGAAUGGUAAAAUUUAAAAACUGGAGUGAUCAAGAUACCUGUGAUGCUAGGAUGUCAGAUGGUUGUUUACUUGGGUAUUGAAAUGACCCAGGAUUAUAGCAAAAGCUGGGCUAGGAAUGAACACUGAGGGCUAGAUAAAAUAGGUUUCAGUGACUGAAGAAUGAUCUGGGGAUUGGCACAUGACAACUGUGCAGGUUCAAGAGAAGAAAGGAUGCAGUGGGAUAGUAGUAUGAGCCUCAGAAGAGUGGUGGAAAUUACUAGAAGAUGCAAAAACUGUUGUUUGCCCAUUGCACUGAGGUUUUGGCUGGCAGAAUGAACAUCUAAAAUGAUUCCUUUCUCUAUUAAGUGCUUAUUCUAUGCCUGACAUUUUGCUGUGUGCCAUGUAUUUCUCCCUUUUGGUCUGUCACAUAUCCUGUGUGAAAAUGAGCAGCAAUUCCAGGUGAGGGUUAGGGUUAGGCUGCUGGCCCUUAGCACUGGUGGAAUCCUGUUGCCAUCUCCUAACUCUUUGAAAGAGCAGAAGGCUGGUCAUCUGAAAGUGUCAGAAAAAGAUUUAUUUAGGAUCAGAAUUUCUCCUUGACCUUGAUGUAGCUUGAUUACAUGGUACAUGCUUUUGUUGGCUGUGUUCCAUAAUAUACUUUGGCCUCUGAGCCUCUGAGUUGAGGAGUGAACUAGAACUGUCCUUUGAAAAAGAUAGGCACAGUUCUUUAAAAACACAUAUUAAUUAGAAACAAGACACAGUCCUAUUAUCUAAUUGAGCUUUUAAGAUAAAGAGUAGACAAAAGAAAGCCCUCAUCAGUGGAUGAAUAACAAAACCACUUUGUAAAAGCCAUUUAGGGUCAGGACAAAUCCAGUUUAGUGGCCCUAUUGUAGAUGUUCCCUGUGUUGUUGGGAAGGAGGGCUGGAAAUUGAUGCAAAGAGAUAGCCCUUAGGACUUGGAAGGUAAAAUUUAGGGUGAGUGUCUAUGAGCCCUCUGACACCGCAUGCAGUCCUUUUUCUUUUCUUAUAGUCUUCAAACGAGUCAAUAUUCCAAUGAAGGUUUAGAGCUAGUGUGUUAGAGUCACCAGGCCUUCAGACAGCCUAUCCCCUCCUGUGGGAGCUGCUGUAUAUUUAUUCCUCAGGAGGAGCUGGUAGAAGACUUCAUGAAGGAGAAGAAAAGGAAAAAAGUCAGAGGACGACUACAACCUCUCUUCGUCUCAGCUUUGCAAAGCAUGACUCAACAGAGAGAUCACACUCUUGAAGACUCUCCAGACCACAGCCACCGCAGACACUAACCACAGCCAGCAACUGGACCUCCACCCCAGGAUUUACUAUUGAUGUCUCAACUGAUUAUGAAAUCAGUAGGAGAGCUUGUAUCCCUUUCUAGCUUGCUCAUCAGAGAUUUUAAGAUUUGCAUACAUGUGGUAUGUAAGGACACAAAUCUUAUGGGUUAAUAGUAAACUGUCAGGAGUCCUGGUUACUUUUUGUCUCUUGGAAAUGGGAAAGAUAGGGUAUGGGAAAAGUGGAAAGUCUUAUACCUUUCAGAUAUUCUCAAUGAUUGCUCAGGGCACCCAUAGUCACAUCUUCUGAUGCCUUAUCUUAUAUCAUGCCUCUCCUUUCUUCAGAAUUGCAGUGCGCUCCUUGCUCUCUAGCCACUUUUCAUUUCCUGCUCCACACUGAUGGGUUUCAGCAAGUGUUUUUUCUUUUUCUUCCCCCAGGCCACAUGUCUGUAACAGGCCCCAGCUGGGAAGAGCUUUAUUGUGAAUGAAGCUUCAGUGAAUGUUGGGAGUGACGUCAUGUUUUUCUCUCUGGAUAUGUGGAGAGAAGGAGUGCAGUGCAGAGAGGAAGGAGAGGGAAACUAUGAUAUCCCAUUAUAAAGUAACAAAUGCUUGACAUUUUAGUGGGUAUUAGACCUAAAAGCCUACAUGAUUGAAGGAAGCAAACCAUGAUCUCUGUUGUUUGUGAGUGAAGAUAGGAAUGAACUCCUUAUUUCCUUGAAGAAUGAAGGAAGGGAGGGAGGGAGAGAGAACUGAAGGAGGUCAUAAAAUCCUUUACUUAAUUGGAGGAGGCACUGAGACUCGCUUCAUGAACUUGUACUUUUUAAAGGUAGCUUGAAGAUAAGUUGUGCUGCACUAUUUCUGUUGCUACUCGUGAGAGUCACUACCAGCCUCUCUUCUCAGGACUAAUGGGCCAGAAACCUUGGGCAGAAUGACUUCAGGCAACCCCAAACACCAGAUAUUGGCAUAAGGAAACAGUACAAUGAAAAGUCAAUACUUGGACCUUUGUCAUUCCACAGAGCAUGAUGUACUAUCUAAAACAAAAAAGAAGAGCUGCUUUGGAGAAGGGCUUUAAAAGAUUGUUUCAUCAGAAGAAAGAUUUAGAAGAGGGGAAACUUCCAGUUACAUAAGAUGGGCAUUUUAGCAUUUAAAGACGUCUUUUCCCUGUGUAGGUCAUUGAGAUUGAUACCAGGAGCAGACUGUGGCUGACAAGGCCAGUUUAACUAAGCGGUUUCAUGCUCCUAGAGAGAUGCUGUCACUCUCUUUCUCACUUUGGCGAAUAUUCAUCUGCAAUGAGUCCAUUACCUGAAAGAGCAAGAGAACAACAACCAUAGAGGGGGACAACAGUAUGGCCUUCUGAGUGAAGACAGCAGCGGAAAAUGUCAUGAGAUUGACUGCAUUGGGCUGGGCUUGUUCUUUAAAAAAAAAAAAAGUCUUCUUUUUGAUGAUGAAAGUAACAGGUGGUCAUAGUUAAAAAAAUAAAGUGAAAGGUAUAAAUUAAAAAGUAAAGAAUAUCUAUAAUUUUAACAACCCAGAAAAUCUUAACAUUUGCAUGUUUCCUUUUACAACUUUAAAAAAGUGUAACAGUUUAAAAUUGACAUUGUAUUUGUUACUCUCCAACUUUCUCAUUUAAAAAUAAAUAAGCAUUUUUCCAUGUCA